This 350-nucleotide long non-coding RNA is filed under the name Physcomitrium patens. RNAcentral's name for it is "long non-coding RNA (PPAT_LNC012550)". Lineage: Eukaryota; Viridiplantae; Streptophyta; Bryopsida; Funariales; Funariaceae. The record is from RNAcentral.
UAACUUUGAACUCGAUGUUGCUACCAAAUAGCUACCACAUCUCUCAAAUAAUUAGCUCCAUAUAUAAUUCCUUCAGUGGUAUUUGCCUAGAUAGUUGAAAGUAUUGUCACAUAUUGAAGAGCCAUUGACAUACAUCUUCUUAUCUUGAAGUUCCACAGUAUGCAUUAGGCUUACUCAAUUUCAACUUAGCAGAUGUCAACUUUCUUGUCCUCGAGGCUUCUAUUUAUUCUUGCAAAGUAGCUAUCUGAUCUACGAGGUGUUGUAUUUGAGCCUCUAUUUGGGAUUGCUCUGCCAUAUCUUCUAUAUUAUAAUUUCUCUGCUGGACUUUAUUAUUGUAAUACCUUCUCACC